RNAcentral lists this ribosomal RNA (253 nucleotides) under uncultured Caldilinea sp. RNAcentral describes it as "partial 16S ribosomal RNA". It matches the Rfam family "Bacterial small subunit ribosomal RNA", at positions 524 to 776 of the family's 1533-position model. Lineage: Bacteria; Bacillati; Chloroflexota; Caldilineae; Caldilineales; Caldilineaceae. The record is from RNAcentral.
UACGUAGGUGGCAAGCGUUAUCCGGAAUUACUGGGCGUAAAGCGCACGCAGGCGGCUUGUCAAGGCUGACGUGAAAGAACCUGGCUUAACUGGGGGAGGUCGUGGGCGACUGACAGGCUUGAGGCAACGAGAGGGGUGCGGAAUUCCCGGUGUAGUGGUGGAAUGCGUAGAGAUCGGGAGGAACACCAGUGGCGAAAGCGGCACCCUGGCAUUGACCUGACGCUCAGGUGCGAAAGCGUGGGGAGCGAACGGG